Molecule: ribosomal RNA, 255 nt
Filed under: uncultured bacterium
Lineage: Bacteria
Description: partial 16S ribosomal RNA
Rfam family: Bacterial small subunit ribosomal RNA
Source: RNAcentral
ACGGGUGAGUAACGCGUGGGUAACCUGCCUCAUACAGGGGGAGUAACAGUUAGAAAUGGCUGCUAAUACCGCAUAAGCGCACGAGGAGACAUCUCCUUGUGUGAAAAACUCCGGUGGUACAGGAUGGGCCCGCGUCUGAUUAGCUGGUUGGCAGGGUAACGGGCCUACCAAGGCAACGAUCAGUAGCCGGUCUGAGAGGAUGAACGGCCACAUUGGAACUGAGACACGGUCCAAACUCCUACGGGAGGCAGCAUG